CCUACGGGAGACUGCAGUGAGGAAUAUUGGUCAAUGGCCGCAGGGCUGAACCAGCCAAGUCGCGUGAGGGAUGACGGUCCUAUGGAUUGUAAACCUCUUUUGUCAGGGAGCAAAGGGCGCCACGUGUGGCGCUUUGCGAGUACCUGAAGAAAAAGCAUCGGCUAACUCCGUGCCAGCAGCCGCGGUAAUACGGAGGAUGCGAGCGUUAUCCGGAUUUAUUGGGUUUAAAGGGUGCGCAGGCGGAAUGUCAAGUCAGCGGUAAAAUUUCGGGGCUCAACCCCGUCGUGCCGUUGAAACUGGCGUUCUUGAGUGAGCGAGAAGUAUGCGGAAUGCGUGGUGUAGCGGUGAAAUGCAUAGAUAUCACGCAGAACUCCGAUUGCGAAGGCAGCAUACCGGCGCUCAACUGACGCUCAUGCACGAAAGCGUGGGUAUCGAACAGGAUUAGAUACCCCUGUAGUC
This 459-nucleotide ribosomal RNA is filed under the name uncultured bacterium. RNAcentral's name for it is "partial 16S ribosomal RNA". It matches the Rfam family "Bacterial small subunit ribosomal RNA", at positions 338 to 795 of the family's 1533-position model. The record is from RNAcentral.